Molecule: non-coding RNA, 83 nt
Organism: Blepharisma stoltei
Lineage: Eukaryota; Ciliophora; Heterotrichea; Heterotrichida; Blepharismidae
Source: the annotation of a GenBank genome assembly
CCGAUUAUAGCUCAGUUGGUAGAGCAUGGGACUGUAGAAAAAUAGUCAUCCCAGGGUCCCCGGUUCGAAUCCGGGUGAUCGGA